This 644-nucleotide long non-coding RNA is filed under the name Amborella trichopoda. RNAcentral describes it as "long non-coding RNA (ATRI_LNC000551)". The record is from RNAcentral. Lineage: Eukaryota; Viridiplantae; Streptophyta; Magnoliopsida; Amborellales; Amborellaceae.
AUUUAUAUGAUGUGUAUAUACGGAUUUGUGUGUAUGUGUAAAGUGCAUAACUAUAUAUAUACAAUACAUUAAUAUAUACGUUGAUGUAUAUGACCAUAUAUACACUUAUUAUUACUAUAUACCUUUAUUAAUGUAUAUGUACACUGAUUUAUAUACUACACACACUCACUGUCACACUCACUCUCAUUCUCACCCUCACACUCACACUCACACUCACUCACUCAUACACACACACACUCACACACUUACACUCACACUCACGCUCGCACCAGCACUCUCACUCUCACUCUCACUCUCACUCGCACUCACACUGACAUUGACACUUACACACACUCACACUCACAAAUAUAUAUACUAUCACUUGUAAUCAAAUAUGCAAUUGCGAAAUUCCUUAUUACUUUGUAUAAAAUUAGGCAUAAGAAUGGGUUUCUUCUCUUGAUGAAUUGGGUAUGUUGAAUACGCUAUUGUGAUAAUCCAUGUAAAUUUUUUAUCUUAUUUGUACUUGUUUUUUAUUAUUAUUGAUGAGCUUCAUCUUCAUUGAGUUUUCUUGUAAAUCAACAAGCACGAAAGCAACUUAUCAUAGAGGCAGAUCUCUUUACGUUAUUCGAUAUUUGAGAUCUUGAUAUUGCAAGCUUGAUUUGCUU